UACGUAGGGCGCAAGCGUUGUCCGGAAUUAUUGGGCGUAAAGAGCUCGUAGGCGGUCUGUUACGUCUGCUGUGAAAACCCAGGGCUUAACCCUGGGCUGCAGUGGAUACGGGCAGACUAGAGGCAGGUAGGGGAGAAUGGAAUUCCCGGUGUAGCGGUGGAAUGCGCAGAUAUCAGGAGGAACACCGAUGGCGAAGGCAGCUCGCUGGGACGGUACUGACGCUGAGGCGCGAAAGCGUGGGGAGCGAACAGG
RNAcentral lists this ribosomal RNA (252 nucleotides) under uncultured bacterium. RNAcentral's name for it is "partial 16S ribosomal RNA". It matches the Rfam family "Bacterial small subunit ribosomal RNA", at positions 524 to 776 of the family's 1533-position model. The record is from RNAcentral.